UACGUAGGUGGCGAGCGUUGUCCGGAUUUACUGGGCGUAAAGAGCGCGCAGGCGGUCGUUCAAGUCGCGUGUGAAAGCCCCCGGCUCAACUGGGGAGGGUCACGCGAUACUGUUCGACUCGAAGGCAGGAGAGGGAAGUGGAAUUCCCGGUGUAGUGGUGAAAUGCGUAGAUAUCGGGAGGAACACCAGUGGCGAAGGCGACUUCCUGGCCUGUUCUUGACGCUGAGGCGCGAAAGCUAGGGUAGCAAACGGG
RNAcentral lists this ribosomal RNA (253 nucleotides) under uncultured bacterium. RNAcentral's name for it is "partial 16S ribosomal RNA". It matches the Rfam family "Bacterial small subunit ribosomal RNA", at positions 524 to 776 of the family's 1533-position model. The record is from RNAcentral.